This 754-nucleotide ribosomal RNA is filed under the name Crucibulum laeve. RNAcentral describes it as "eukaryotic LSU rRNA". It matches the Rfam family "Eukaryotic large subunit ribosomal RNA", at positions 119 to 864 of the family's 3401-position model. The record is from RNAcentral. Lineage: Eukaryota; Fungi; Basidiomycota; Agaricomycetes; Agaricales; Nidulariaceae.
AAUCUGGUAGUCUUAUGGCUGCCCGAGUUGUAAUCUAGAGAAGUGUUACCCGCGUUGGACCGUGUACAAGUCUCCUGGAAAGGAGCAUCAUAGAGGGUGAGAAUCCCGUCUUUGACACGGACUGCCAGGGCUUUGUGGUACACUCUCAAAGAGUCGAGUUGUUUGGGAAUGCAGCUCAAAAUGGGUGGUAAAUUCCAUCUAAAGCUAAAUAUUGGCGAGAGACCGAUAGCGAACAAGUACCGUGAGGGAAAGAUGAAAAGAACUUUGGAAAGAGAGUUAAACAGUACGUGAAAUUGCUGAAAGGGAAACGCUUGAAGUUAGUCACGUUGGCUGGAAAUCAACCCUUUGGGUGUACUUUCUAGUUGACGGGUCAGCAUCAAUUUUAAUUGUUGGAUAAAGGCUUAGGGAAUGUGGCAUCUUCGGAUGUGUUAUAGCCCUGAGUUGUAUACAACAGUUGGGAUUGAGGAACUCAGCACGCCGAAAGGCCGGGUAUUUUUACCACGUUCGUGCUUAGGAUGCUGGCAUAAUAGCUUUAAUCGACCCGUCUUGAAACACGGACCAAGGAGUCUAACAUGCCUGCGAGUAUUUGGGUGGAAAACCCGGAUGCGUAAUGAAAGUGAAAGUUGAGAACCCUGUCGUGGGGUGCAUCGACGCCCGGACUUGAUGUUUACUGACGGUUCCGCGGUAGAGCAUGUAUGUUGGGACCCGAAAGAUGGUGAACUAUGCCUGAAUAGGGUGAAGCCAGAGGAAACUC